CUACGGGAGGCAGCAGUGAGGAAUUUUGCGCAAUGGGGGAAACCCUGACGCAGCAACGCCGCGUGAGUGAUGAAGGCCUUCGGGUCGUAAAGCUCUGUCAAGUGGGAAGAACCUACCUAUGGGUAAUAUUCAUGGGUACUGACGGUACCACUGAAGGAAGCACCGGCUAACUCCGUGCCAGCAGCCGCGGUAAUACGGGGGGUGCAAGCGUUAUUCGGAAUUAUUGGGCGUAAAGGGCGCGUAGGCGGUCUUGUUAGUCAGAUGUGAAAGCCCGGGGCUCAACCCCGGAAGUGCAUUUGAUACUGCAAGACUUGAGUAUGGGAGAGGGAAGUGGAAUUCCUGGUGUAGAGGUGAAAUUCGUAGAUAUCAGGAGGAACAUCUGUGGCGAAGGCGACUUCCUGGACCAAUACUGACGCUGAGGCGCGAAGGCGUGGGUAGCAAACAGGAUUAGAUACCCGUGUAGUC
This 465-nucleotide ribosomal RNA is filed under the name uncultured bacterium. Its description in RNAcentral is "partial 16S ribosomal RNA". It matches the Rfam family "Bacterial small subunit ribosomal RNA", at positions 339 to 795 of the family's 1533-position model. The record is from RNAcentral.